AUUGAGACCUCAUCAAUAUGCAUGAUUUUUAUAUUUGUUUAAGGUUGUGGACGUCACAUAGAAGUUGUUUUAGAAGAUGUACCAGUACAUGAAAGAUGUUCUUGUCCAAAGAAAAAGGCAUGUGCAAUAUCAUGACAGAGGUAACAACAUCUUUAUCUAUAGACUAUAAGGUUUGAAAUAAACCCUUUAAAUGGCAGGCAGGGUUAGUGGUUAGAAGGAGGCACAGAAAGACUUAAAAUUGAAAUGCUUCUCCAUAUUUUAUCCUCAGCCUCUUACAAAGUAAUAAUUAUUCUUUAUGAUAUAUGUACAAGUUAUCUUUGUAUUCUAUGAAAACCUGAAACAUGUCAAGUAGCAUGUAGUUUGCAAGAUUCUGAUAUAGUUUAAAACUAAAACUAAAGAUUUCUAUAUCCAUGAUGUAGGACCCGUUCAUAAAUUUAAAGAAAAUAGACAACAGGUACCCGUACCCUUUUCUUUUCUAUAGCAGUUUAAACCUGUGCUAGCAACAGUCUUAAAUUUCCAGUGAGGUGAAAGUUUUUUUAACCGGAUUUUUGUGACAAAAAUGUCGGUUAUUGAUUUGGGGAUGUACGGCGGGCGGGCGGCAAUCAAAUGUUGUCCGUGCAUUAACUCAUGAACCGUUCAACCAAAGCUUUUAAAAUUUUAAUAUGUUGUUACUGACAACUAAAUGAAGGUCAAGUUCAAUAAUGGCGAUUUUGACUUUUACCGUUCAGGAGUUAUGGUUCUUGAAAGAUUGAAAAAUGGAGUUUCCAGUCGUGUCUGUGCAUUUACGCAUGAACUGUUCUACCAAAGCUUCCCAAAUUUUAAUAUGUUGUUACUGAUGACAAAAUGGAGGUCAAGUUCAAUAAUGACGAUUUUGACUUUUACGGUUCAGGAGUUAUGGUUCUUGAAAGAUUGAAAAAUGGAGUUUUCAGUCGUGUCCGUACAUUUACGCAUGAACUGUUCUACCAAAGCUUCCCAAAUUUUAAUAUAUUGUUACUGAUGACAAAAUGGAGGUCAAGUUCAAUAAUGACGAUUUUGACUUUUACCGUUCAGGAGUGAUGGUUCUUGAAAGAUUGAAAAAUGGUGUUUCCAGUCGUGUCCGUGCAUUUUCUCAUAAACCAUUCAACCAAAGCUUUUGAAAUUUUUAUAUGUUGUUACUGAUGACAAAAUAGAGGUCAAGUUCAAUAAUGACGAUUUUGACUUUUACCGUUCAGGAGUUAUGGUUCUUGAAAGAUCGUAAAAUGGCGUUUCCAUUCACGUUGUUGCAUUUACUAAGGCAGCAACCAUUUGAUUUUCUGGGGGGGGGCUAUGGUUUUUUUUGGAAAAAAAAGUUUGUUUCCAGUUUUUGGAGAAAAAAAUAAUUUGUUUUUCAUUCUGAGAAAAAAAAAUUGUUUGUUUCACCCUCAGCUGCCACUAUAUGUAAUGCUAAAAUUGAAAGAAAAAAAUUGUUUUCGACUUGUCGCAAAAAAAAUAGAUUGUUUUUCGCCGCAGGCGAAAAAAAAGUUUGUACAGAAAAAAAAACCAUAGCCCCCCCCCCCCCAGAAAAUCAAAUGGUUGCUGCCUAAUGAACCAUUCAAUCUAAGCUUUUCAAAUUUUAAUAUGUUGAUACUGACUACAAAAUGGAGGUCAAAUUUGAUAUUGACGAUUUUCACUUUCAGCAUUCAUUAGUUAUAGUUCUUGUGAUAUUGCCAGGACACAAAUAAAUGUUAAUAAAUCCGGUUUGCUGUCGUUGUGACAGCUCUUGUUUUUGUUUAGUGUUGAGGGCCUCACUUUGACUUUGAGAUGAAGAACAGCAAUUAAAGCACUGUUCCUGUGCAUUUUUUUGUUUUUUUUUUGCUGUUGAUGUACUCAUUUAGUGUCCUGGAUAUAUACCCUAUAUUCUCUGAAAUUCUAUUAAUUGUUUGUAGCUUGAGAAGUAAUUUAUUACACCUUUUUCAGAAGUGUUCAUAGAUGUAUUUCUGUUUGCCUGGGCUAGGCUAGAGUGUUUUCACUCAACAAAUAUUACCAGGUAUCAAUGAGACUUGUUUGGCGACUAUUCUUUCACAAAGGCUUAUAUUUUAAGAAUUAUCAAUUUAUGAUUGGGCUAAUAUCUUCUUGAUGUUUUUACAUAGCUUCAUUUUGAGAUUGACAAUAAAGUUUUAUAUAAGAUGUUUUAACAAAUAUUUACAUGUUAAUUGGGAAAAUUGAUGCUCACAUUUAAUUUUAUCAAAACCUAUGUGAAACAAGACCCUGUUUUACAUAAAACAAUUAGUUACAUAUGUCAAUUUUGACAAGGAAAUGAUUAGAAAUUGACAUUCCAAUUAUAAAAGUUAUUUCUCCAUUAAUGGGACCAUACUAUAUCAUCCUAUGCAUUUAUCUUCAAGGGUAAACAAUCACAAACAAAGGAAGAUAACUCAAAUUUUAACUUGUCUAUCAAAAUACAAUGCAAUGUUUUUAUUAAAAAUUUUACAAAAUUGCAAAAUGAAAGCAAUCUUUACCCUCAGUGCUUCGAUUAAUUUAUUUUAUCAUCCCUGUUUUCUCAUUAAAGUCAUAUGAAACGAGUGACUGGUGAAAAAUAAUGUUUAUACAAUUCUUGAACCAAUGCAUUUAUAUAUGAUAAACUUUGUCUUUUGUGCACGAUUUAAUCAUUUUUUGCGCAAACACGAUUUUUUUUCUCUCUCUGUCUGUUAUUAUGUGAAAACAUGGCAGGUAAUUAAUUAUUGUGUUUUGAAACUGUAAUUUACCGAUUGUCACCUUAUAGUAAACAAUCAACAAAAGAAGCAUGGAUAUUGAGCACAUGAAUAACAUGUAUAAUCAGAUAAUAAUUUAUUUUAAUGACAGACCCAUGGGUACUGCAAUCACCGGAUUCUUACGAGAAGGGUCACGCUAAGGUCACUUGCAUAUACGGAAAAUAUGUCGGCGAAUUGCUUCCUUGGAAGCAAGCAAUUGAAAUAAGUAAACUUCUUCUAAAUGUGGACAAUUUUCUGAAGAAUUUUCUCCAGAAAAAAGUAUAUGUACAUAAGUUUUAUAAUGGAAACUAUCCAUUUAGUUAUAAAAAACAUAUGCAUCAUUUUUUUUUUUAAUUUGAGGUUUCAUAUGACUUUAAGAUGCUUAUUCACUGAUUUGUAUUUUUGUAGGCUACAUCUGUGAAGAUGAUGUAAAUAUUUAGAAGAGUAAUGUGAAUCUCAGAACAUGCAGC
Molecule: long non-coding RNA, 3175 nt
Filed under: Mytilus galloprovincialis (Mediterranean mussel)
Lineage: Eukaryota; Metazoa; Mollusca; Bivalvia; Mytilida; Mytilidae
Source: RNAcentral